This 443-nucleotide ribosomal RNA is filed under the name uncultured bacterium. RNAcentral describes it as "bacterial SSU rRNA". It matches the Rfam family "Bacterial small subunit ribosomal RNA", at positions 338 to 795 of the family's 1533-position model. The record is from RNAcentral.
CCUACGGGAGGCACAAGUGGGGUAUAUUGGACAAUGGACCACAAGUCUGAUCCAGCAAUUCUGUGUGCACGAUGACGUUUUUCGGAAUGUAAAGUGCUUUCAGUCGGGAAGAAGUCAGUGACGGUACCGACAGAAGAAGCGACGGCUAAAUACGUGCCAGCAGCCGCGGUAAUACGUAUGUCGCAAGCGUUAUCCGGAUUUAUUGGGCGUAAAGCGCGUCCAGGCGGCAAGGAAAGUCCGAUGUGAAAAUGCGGAGCUCAACUCCGUAUGGCGUUGGAAACUGCCUUACUAGAGUACUGGAGAGGUAGGCGGAACUACAAGUGUAGAGGUGAAAUUCGUAGAUAUUUGUAGGAAUGCCGAUGGGGAAGCCAGCCUACUGGACAGAUACUGACGCUAAAGCGCGAAAGCGUGGGUAGCAAACAGGAUUAGAUACCCUCGUAGUC